RNAcentral lists this long non-coding RNA (1414 nucleotides) under Gallus gallus (chicken). RNAcentral describes it as "lncRNA (ENSGALG00010010093.1)". The record is from RNAcentral. Lineage: Eukaryota; Metazoa; Chordata; Aves; Galliformes; Phasianidae.
CGAGAGAGAGGUGGGGCAGACAGCCGGCAGCAGGAAUCGCAGAGCCAUCUCUGGCCAGGCAAACGAACACAAAUUCUCCCUCCUGGGCCUGCUAUGACAAACCAAAGGAAAAAGCUAACUCCAUUUGCCAGCAGGGCAAAAUACUGCCACUGGAAUUAGAAGCAGUAGCUACGGCUGCGUCAGUCUCCAAGAGCUGUCCAUGUGCAAGAUGAGAUAAAGGGGGAAACAGUACCCCAGAGUUGCACUGAGACAGCAAGCUGCCAUCCAGACCACAGUGCUUUAUCUGAAUAGAGCACACUGGAGAGGGUCAUCUUGCAUCAGACUCACAGAAAUGCCCAGAGAUGCAUGUGUAGAAUCAAUGAAGAAAUGGAGACACCCCUAGCACAAAUACCAACGUCCACAAGCAAAUGUCUAUACCCUCCUUUCAAGCAUAUCUCCAUCCUUCUCCUUCCCAUGUGGGCCUUCAGUGAACUGCUCACAUCAGCUCAGCACAUUUCUUCACUACUUGUGUUUGUAGUUGCUGUUCAUCCAUGGCAAAUAAGCUCCAGAGACACAAUCCUAAUGGAUGGGCAGACCAACAAGAGAACAUGUGACAUCUACAUGAAGAACUUCUUGCACCAUGGGAUGGUAAAGAACAGGCUAUGUUUUGAAAGCAGACCUCUGACACAGGGUCUUGCGUUUCGUCUUGCUGUCACACUGUGUUACCACACCACAUCACACUGUGUGACAUAACCGACAAACCCUGUUGUAACCUGUAUGUGUCAUGGGAAGGCAGCCUGCUGCCUGAUUCUUGUAAGAGUGCUUCAGGAAAAAGGCAAUCCUACUAAUUCCCCACAGCCAGAACUGUAGCAGGAGCAAAGCUGAACAGAGCUGCUUGCUCUCUUCCUACCUAUCUAUAAUCAGCUUCAGGCAGUCAGCACUUGUCACCCUGAACAUUUCAGAAAUUCUAGAGUACAUGGUGAUAUAAAGCCACUGAAAUGGAGUAAUGUCCCAUGAAGAAAGAGGCUGUCUGUUGAAACCUACUUUUUCACAUUCAAGUAGGAGGUGGUGUGAUAGGGCACACCACAGCAGGGUCCUGACAGCAUACGUCAGUGAGGACAAAUGAACUUUUCAGUGCUGGUCCAAGGUAUUUCAGUUUUGUAUCUAGCCCUCUCUGUGCCCUGCUGUCUUCAUGGUGGUGAUACCAGUUUGGAAGUGAUACCAAGGAACUACUCAGAAUAUGAGAACUUCAACUUUUUCUUUUGUUGCGUUCCCCAGGAAUUACCGCUCGCAACAAUUUGUGGAUGUCCCCCUCAGAUUAUUUUAACUAAGAGCUCUCCUGAUUUAUUUCGUCCCCAGGGGAUUUCUAACUUAUGUGAACUAUGACUGGUGAUAAUGAAAUAUAUUGUCGUGCCACAAAUUCAAUACAUUAAAA